CGCUGGCGGCAGGCCUAACACAUGCAAGUCGAGCGGAUGACAGGAGCUUGCUCCUGAAUUCAGCGGCGGACGGGUGAGUAAUGCCUAGGAAUCUGCCUGGUAGUGGGGGACAACGUUUCGAAAGGAACGCUAAUACCGCAUACGUCCUACGGGAGAAAGCAGGGGACCUUCGGGCCUUGCGCUAUCAGAUGAGCCUAGGUCGGAUUAGCUAGUUGGUGAGGUAAUGGCUCACCAAGGCGACGAUCCGUAACUGGUCUGAGAGGAUGAUCAGUCACACUGGAACUGAGACACGGUCCAGACUCCUACGGGAGGCAGCAGUGGGGAAUAUUGGACAAUGGGCGAAAGCCUGAUCCAGCCAUG
This 360-nucleotide ribosomal RNA is filed under the name uncultured bacterium. Its description in RNAcentral is "bacterial SSU rRNA". It matches the Rfam family "Bacterial small subunit ribosomal RNA", at positions 34 to 396 of the family's 1533-position model. The record is from RNAcentral.